AAAUACGGUAAAAGCGCAUCAUUCCUGCAACCGGAUUGGUAUUAUGAACAAGACCAAGGUUUACCUUUCAUAGUCUAUGUUAUCCGUAGUCGCGGUUGGACGUACAGUUUCAAGGAUCCAAACGUACCUCUCGCAUAGGGUCUUGGUGCCAUUAUACUGUGCUAAUUGACACUUAUAGGCUCGACUAUAACGUUAUCCAAAGAUUAAGAUUCUUGGGGACGACGUUGCGAAUGAUUAACUGCAUUGGUUAUGCACAGUCUUAUAUAUGCCUACAAUCUUGAUGCGGCAAUCCGUAAAAUAGCUUUGAGCACUUUUAUUUUCGCUCCAUGUAUCACUGUUUACAUUAUUCAUUUCUUGCUAUCUUUUGCUCCCAUAAUAAUUGUUUAUUUAAAA
RNAcentral lists this unclassified non-coding RNA (393 nucleotides) under Bombus terrestris (buff-tailed bumblebee). RNAcentral's name for it is "misc RNA ENSBTSG00005026783.1". Lineage: Eukaryota; Metazoa; Arthropoda; Insecta; Hymenoptera; Apidae. The record is from RNAcentral.